UCCCAGACUCCUACGGGAGGCAGCAGUGGGGAAUAUUGCGCAAUGGGCGAAAGCCUGACGCAGCGACGCCGCGUGAGGGAUGGAGGUCUUCGGAUCGUAAACCUCUGUCAGCAGGGAAGAACGGUCACUGUGCUAAUCAGCAGUGAAUUGACGGUACCUGACUAAGAAGCCCCGGCUAACUACGUGCCAGCAGCCGCGGUAAUACGUAGGGGGCAAGCGUUAUCCGGAUUUACUGGGUGUAAAGGGAGCGUAGACGGCGGCGCAAGUCCGGAGUGAAAGCCCACGGCCCAACCGUGGGACUGCUCUGGAAACUGUGCGGCUUGAGUGCGGGAGGGGCAGGCGGAAUUCCUAGUGUAGCGGUGAAAUGCGUAGAUAUUAGGAGGAACACCGGCGGCGAAGGCGGCCUGCUGGACCGUAACUGACGUUGAGGCUCGAAAGCGUGGGGAGCAAACAGGAUUAGAUACCCUGGUAA
This 472-nucleotide ribosomal RNA is filed under the name uncultured bacterium. RNAcentral describes it as "bacterial SSU rRNA". It matches the Rfam family "Bacterial small subunit ribosomal RNA", at positions 329 to 793 of the family's 1533-position model. The record is from RNAcentral.